Molecule: ribosomal RNA, 372 nt
Filed under: uncultured organism
Description: bacterial SSU rRNA
Rfam family: Bacterial small subunit ribosomal RNA
Source: RNAcentral
CGUAGGGGGCAAGCGUUGUCCGGAUUUAUUGGGCGUAAAGAGCGUGUAGGCGGCCAGACAGGUCCGUUGUGAAAACUCGAGGCUCAACCUCGAGACGUCGACGGAAACCGUCUGGCUAGAGUCCGGAAGAGGAGUGUGGAAUUCCUGGUGUAGCGGUGAAAUGCGCAGAUAUCAGGAAGAACACCUAUGGCGAAGGCAGCACUCUGGGACGGUACUGACGCUGAGACGCGAAAGCGUGGGGAGCGAACAGGAUUAGAUACCCUGGUAGUCCACGCCGUAGACGAUGGAUGCUAGGUGUGGGCGGUGUCGACUCCGUCCGUGCCGAAGCUAACGCAUUAAGCAUCCCGCCUGGGGAGUACGGCCGCAAGGCUA